RNAcentral lists this ribosomal RNA (260 nucleotides) under uncultured bacterium. RNAcentral describes it as "partial 16S ribosomal RNA". It matches the Rfam family "Bacterial small subunit ribosomal RNA", at positions 96 to 354 of the family's 1533-position model. The record is from RNAcentral.
UGGCGGACGGGUGAGUAACACGUGAGCAACCUGCCUUUCAGAGGGGGAUAACGUUUGGAAACGAACGCUAAUACCGCAUAAAAUAUCGGAGUCGCAUGGCACUGAUAUCAAAGGAGCAAUCCGCUGAAAGAUGGGCUCGCGUCCGAUUAGGCAGUUGGCGGGGUAACGGCCCACCAAACCGACAAUCGGUAGCCGGACUGAGAGGUUGAACGGCCACAUUGGGACUGAGACACGGCCCAGACUCCUACGGGAGGCAGCAG